GACGAACGCUGGCGGCGUGCUUAACACAUGCAAGUCGAACGGAAAGGCCCUGCUUUUGUGGGGUGCUCGAGUGGCGAACGGGUGAGUAACACGUGAGUAACCUGCCCUUUACUUUGGUAUAACUUCAGGAAACUGUGUCUAAUACCGGAUAGGAGCUCCUUCUGCAUGGUGGUGGUUGGAAAUUUUCGUCGGUUGGGGAUGGACUCGCGGCUUAUCAGCUUGUGGGGGGGUUAGUGGCUUACAAAGGCUUUGACGGGUAGCCGGCCUGAGAGGGUGACCGGCAAAUUUGGGACUGGGGUACGGCCAAGACUCCUCCGGGAGGCAGACGUGGGGAAAAUUCCACAAGGGGCGGAGGCAUGAUGAAGUAACCCCGCGUGCGGUAUAACGGCCUUCGGGUUGUAAACCGUUUUCGCAUGUGACGAACCGUGAGUGACGGUAAUGGGUAAAGAAGCACCGGCUAACUACGUG
This 468-nucleotide ribosomal RNA is filed under the name uncultured bacterium. RNAcentral describes it as "partial 16S ribosomal RNA". It matches the Rfam family "Bacterial small subunit ribosomal RNA", at positions 28 to 507 of the family's 1533-position model. The record is from RNAcentral.